Molecule: small nuclear RNA, 178 nt
Filed under: Prolemur simus (greater bamboo lemur)
Lineage: Eukaryota; Metazoa; Chordata; Mammalia; Primates; Lemuridae
Description: U1 spliceosomal RNA (ENSPSMG00000021351.1)
Rfam family: U1 spliceosomal RNA
About the family: U1 is a small nuclear RNA (snRNA) component of the spliceosome (involved in pre-mRNA splicing). Its 5' end forms complementary base pairs with the 5' splice junction, thus defining the 5' donor site of an intron.
Source: RNAcentral
AUACUUACCUGCCAGGGGAGAUACCAUGAUCACAAAGAUGGUUUUCCCAGGGCGAGGUUUAUCCCUUGCACUUCCAAUGUGCUGACCCCCUGAGAUCAAAUGUGGGAACCUCGACUACAUAAUUUGUGGUAGUAGUGGAAAAGAAAAAAAAAAAAAUGAGGGUAGACCAGAGCCCUUC